Long non-coding RNA from Helianthus annuus (common sunflower), 1887 nucleotides. RefSeq lists it as uncharacterized. The transcript has 5 exons. NCBI's taxonomy places the organism in Eukaryota, Viridiplantae, Streptophyta, Magnoliopsida, Asterales, Asteraceae. The record is from RefSeq and is a predicted model, not a curated record.
GAAUAGACGUCCUCAUAAUCAAACCCCCUCUAAUCAUAUUGCCACAUUCAAUAAGGAAUUCCAAAGAUCUUGCUCAUUAUUUUUCUCUUCUCAAAACGUCAGUCAAGUGCCGAUUCCAUCCCACCCCUGUUAAGUUGUGUUCCAGCGUCUUGAGUUUUCAUUUUCCUUUCAUGCUCCCCAGAUACUAAACUCGAUCUAGGUUGUUUUGUUUGUUGCAGGAGGCAAGGUUAAGCAGGUGAACGACCAGGUCUCGGUGGUCUGCAAGGGAGGUGAUGAUGGUGGUUGUUCUGCUUCUUCAAUUCAAAAUACACAAUAAAGACAAGAUUCUAUUCUUUUACUGCCGAUGCACUUCGAUGCGAACAAGAACGUGGUUCUGGAAAUAAAGAAAAGUGAUGAUUCUGAAGAGACAUUGCUUGAAAACAAAAGGCUUGUGGUGGAGGCAGUAGAAAAGCUGGUAAAACGGAAGAAGAGAUAUUGAUUCACAUGUUUCAACUAUUUAAAUUGAAUGUCAAAGGAUGAGCCAACCGCACUUGAUAUAAAAAAGGACCCUGAAAGCAUGUGAGAUGAUGAAGAUUGUAUAAAAGAUUCAUGGGAAGAUGAAGAUGAACCCUCUCUGUGGUAGCACCUCCUGUUGUGAAGGCCCUAAAGAAGUCAACAGUCAAACCGGCUCCAAGAAAAAGGGAUACCUGUUGUUGAAGUAGCAAAAGAGGUGCCAUUAAAUCCUUAAACAAGCUUUGUAUUUCAGGCUCGAGCUCGGGCUCAAUAACUAAAUGAAUAUGGAAGUAUAAAUGGCUUCAUAAAGUUUUGGAUUUAAUAUGUUGAUCGACUGUGCUCAGCGACUGUGGUUUCUUGACACAUACACUGGAGGAUACAGAGUUCAUCGCGAUAUAAAGGUAACUAAGCCAUUUAAUGUUGCUUUUUCUAAUAGUCUGUGGUGAUUUUACUGUUUAGAUUUCGGCAGCCUCACGCAACUCGAACUGGGUUCGUUGUUACGAUCAUUAGGCCUUACACCGAGCCCUGAUCAACUGGAUGCAUUGAUACAGAAAGCGGAUACUAAUAGUAAUGGUUUUGUGCAUUGAUAUUGUAUUAUCUUGCACUACACAUUUGGAUAAUUGAGUUUCUCAUAAUACCAUUUAAUAUUAUGUGCAACUAACAAUUACGUGAACAGGUACUCAGUAGAGUUUUCGACCAGUCGGAAACCGCAAAUGCUCUACUUGGUUGGCCAUAAUUUGGUUGUUUUGCGUCAGUUUGUUUUGUCCCUUCGUAACUUGGCAAGGGUUUGAUCCGUAUAGGGAUUGUCGGAUCCAACUGGUAUAACACUUGAUCCACUAAUUUAAUGCAUUGACCCAUAUAAGUUGGUUAAUUCUUGGAUCGUUCCACUAAAAAAGUUGUCUUCAUAAUUUCUUGCAAUAUUUCUACCCGCCAUAUUGUUUCUCUUGGCUUCUCUCUUUGUUGUAUGAGAUUUUGUGCUUACAUAUGAAAUACAAAUUAUGCAAGUGACUGUUGAGUGUUGGCAGACAGGUGCAGGCAACAAAGAUUAUGGGAGUCAUAAAGGCGAUUAUUUUCUCUGGAUCAAAACAAGGGCGGGAUAUGCAGAUCUGGAAUGGGAUAAAUGGAGAACUUUAAUUUCAGCAAUUUCCCGAUGUGGAACAGAAUAUUGGGUUUGUGCAGAAGAAAAGGGAUGAUGUGGCAUUUUUAGUUUUUCACCGAAAGACCAUGAGUCUGUUGAUCAAUUUUCACUUAAGAACUUUUUUUUUUUACAGUAAUUCUUAUGUAUUAGCUUUGUGUUUUAACCACUUCACACAACACAACAUUUGAUGACAUUUUUCAUGAUAGUUUAACCAUGGACUGGUCAAAACGCCCGAAAGCAUUAUCUUUUCAAACUAA